Molecule: ribosomal RNA, 158 nt
Filed under: Endoconidiophora coerulescens
Lineage: Eukaryota; Fungi; Ascomycota; Sordariomycetes; Microascales; Ceratocystidaceae
Description: 5.8S ribosomal RNA
Rfam family: 5.8S ribosomal RNA
About the family: 5.8S ribosomal RNA (5.8S rRNA) is a component of the large subunit of the eukaryotic ribosome.
Source: RNAcentral
AAACUUUCAACAACGGAUCUCUUGGCUCUAGCAUCGAUGAAGAACGCAACGAAAUGCGAUACGUAAUGUGAAUUGCAGAAUUCAUUGAAUCAUCGAAUCUUUGAACGCACAUUGCGCCUGGCAGUAUUCUGCCAGGCAUGCCUGUCCGAGCGUCAUUU